CGCGUAGGCGGCCCGCUAAGUCGAACGUGAAAUCCCCGGGCUCAACCCGGGAACUGCGUCCGAUACUGGCGGGCUUGAAUCCGGGAGAGGGAUGCGGAAUUCCAGGUGUAGCGGUGAAAUGCGUAGAUAUCUGGAAGAACACCGGUGGCGAAGGCGGCAUCCUGGACCGGCAUUGACGCUGAGGCGCGAAAGCCAGGGGAGGCAAACG
This 208-nucleotide ribosomal RNA is filed under the name uncultured bacterium. RNAcentral's name for it is "partial 16S ribosomal RNA". It matches the Rfam family "Bacterial small subunit ribosomal RNA", at positions 568 to 775 of the family's 1533-position model. The record is from RNAcentral.